UUCCUCUUCCUUCUCUUUAGCUUCCUUCUCGGCCUUCACCCUCGCUUCUUCCUUGGCGGUCUCAAGGGCCUGAAUCAAAUUCUCCAAACAAGCUGUCCCAGGAUCAUCAGUACUGAUGGACUUGGGCAUCAAAUUUUCCGCAACGUCAGCAGGAGUCAUAUUGGUUUCCUCCAACAAGUUACGGAUGCUUGCAAACAAAUGGUGGGAGUCCAGAUCCAAGUAAUUCUUAGCAAGCACCUUGAAUGCUUCAAAGCAACAGUAGGAUAAUUCUAUGUGCUUGUCCAUCCUCCCUCUCCUUAUGAGAGCAGGAUCAAGUUUUUCCACGUGAUUGGUGGUGAAAACUAUGAGUCUCUCUUCGCCACAAGCUGACCACAGCCCAUCAAUAAAAUUCAGAAGCCCGGAUAGAGUAACCUUGCUUUCUUUGCUUUCACCUUCUUUCCCCUUCUUAGGAAUUGGAUUAUCCUUGGACUCUUCGUCCUCCUCUUCCUUUUCCUUCUUUUUCUUACGUUGGCCUGUGAGGUCAAGCGAACAGUCGAUGUCCUCUAUCACAAUGAUGGACUUACUCGUUGUCUCGAUCAGUAGCUUCCGCAGCUCCGUGUUGUCCUUAACUGAAGUGAGUUCAAGAUCAUAGAUAUCAUAAUUCAAAAGGUUAGCCAUGGCAGCAAUCAUGCUUGACUUGCCAGUUCCUGGAGGACCAUGAAGGAGAUACCCUCGCUUCCAAGCCUUCCCAAUUUUUUAAUAAUAAUCUUUCCUCGUGCGGAAGAUGGUGAGAUCAUUAACAAUUUCCUCCUUCUUCUUUGACUCCAUUGCUAGAGUCUCAAAAGUGGCUGGGUGCUCAAAGGCUACAUGACUCCACUCUGACUUUUUGCGCCCAUACCAUUUCUGACUUGGACUGUUAGUGUAGAGCUUCCGCUGCCGAUUUCUGACUGCAAUUGCCUUCCCCUCCUUUAUCACAUGAUUGAGAUAAGACCCCACGAUCAAAUCUCGGUACUGUUUAUGGAAAGUGAGCCUAUAGUACCUCUUCUCAUCAGCAGUAGGAUAAAAAGAAAUGGUCUGCAUUUUAGGGAGACUUUUAUUGGAAGCCCACCAAAGCUUGACCCCAUGGAAUUCAUCCGUGACUUCUUCAUGGUCAUCCAUGCUGAGGACUACAGAUUGGCUGUCUUUGACGAUAUCUGCCUUGAGCCGCUUGGCCCGGGUAGAUGAAUUGGCACUGAGGUAGUUCUCAAUGGCAGCAUAGGCUUCGCUGCGCUUGCGUCUGAAGCUAUUUUCAGUGAACUCCUGGACAGUGAUUUGAAUGUAAGGAUACACAAAGCUCACCAAGUUGUGGCUGUACUUUUCCAUAUAGGGCCGGAGCUGGUGAGGGAAGUAUUGCUGAAACAUGGCCCAGAGAAACACUGCCCCAGCAGCUACUGAGCCUAGUUGAGCAAACAUCUCGCCCAUCACCAUCUUCUUCUCCAAAGUUUUCGAGUAUCAGUAGUAAAAUGUGUUUGUAAGGAUUGAGCGUUGCUUGCCCAUUAUAUAGAGGAGCAAAACCGACCACUGAUAUUCAUCAUCUCACAAGUUCUACCGUGUCUCCUACUCUGUGGCUACCAGCUAACGACGACAUUUCAAGUUGUAUUUUGUGCCUUCGUCCACAAGGAAGAUUCCCACCGUGGAAUAGGUGUGGAAAUCUUAUUGUAAAGACCAGAUAAUAAGAAACAUCCCUCUCUACUGGUCAUAAUCGUGUCCCAACUUCAAAGUCUUUAACACAACUCGCAAGGCAGUUGAUAACUACAUUAAUUGUCGUCCACAUACACCUUUAAAAAAGGUAAAAGAAUAUUUAAAUUUAGUCAAUUGUUCCACAUUUUUCUUUUUGGCAUUUCUCCCAUUUAAUUUUCUUCUAUUCUCAACGUGUACAUUGGGUUGAUGGCAAUCAGCUGAUGUCAUCAAUUUUUUUCAAAUGCCUAAAUUGCCCUUAUUAUAAUUAAUUUUAAUUAACAUAUAAAUUAUCUUAAUUAGUUUAAAUUAAUCAUAAUCAACAUUAAAGUAAUCCAUACAUUUAAUUUCAAAUAAAAAUAAAUUAGUUCUUAAAUAUAUUUUAAUCAAACAUAAAUCAAAUUAAUUAAUUAAUUAAUAACUAACACCAUAAGAUCUUUUAUCUUAUUGGAUCAAAAAAUCUCAUUUUUCAAUCUCACUUUUAUUUUUCAAAUGUUUAUCUUAUUUUCUUAUUAUCUCAAAUUAUUAAAAUUUCUCCCUCUAAAAUUCGUACUCUAGAAUUUAUAAAUUUUGGACUCCAAAAUUUUGUUAAUUUUGGAUUAUGAAAUUUCAUUAUUUUCCAAGAUUUGAAUUUUAUAAUAUUUGUAACAUUAGGUAUUUGGGUUUUUAAAAUCUCUCCAACUUUGUCCCCAUAUUUGUAUCUCACCUUAUUGUGUAAAUUUUUCAUUUGGCGAUUUUCUUUUCUUUUUAAAUUAUUUUUGUAAUCCCAUCAACCUCCUUUGUAUUUCGAUAUUUUGGUCUUUCUUAACCAUCUUCUCUAUUUAUAUAUAUAUAAAUAGACUACAAAGUAAAAUACCUAUAAAUUUGAUUAAAAGAUGAAUUCUAAUAAUCUUUAGAACCAAACUUUAUAAUAUUUUUUUAAAAAAAUUGACUAUCAAAUUAUCAACUUUAUAUUAUAAAUAUAUUUCUUAAUUAAACAAUUUGUCCAUUUCCUCUAUUUGCCUCCUAGUCUAUCUAUGAUUCUCCUCUUGGUCUUUCUAUAAUUCCAUCCAUGAAAUUUGGUUUCUUUUUUGUUUGUAUUUACAUAAGUUUUGAGUUUAAUAUUUCUUAAAGCUUGAGAAAUUAUAGUAAAUAAAUAAAUAGAAUUAGAGUCUGAAAACAAUUUUAAAAAAUAAUUUUUAAAAUAUUUUUAAUUAUUUUAAGUUUUUUUUAAGAAUAUAAAAAAAAAGAUGAUGUAUUAUAUACUUUUAUAUAAUAAGAAAUAUCCCUCAUAAUUUUAAUAGUUGUUCCAAAUAAUUUAUCAAAAAACAUCUAAAUUUUGUUUUUAAAAAGAUCAUUUUCAAUGGAAAGUAAUGGUAUUUUCGAAGUAAGAAAAAAAAAUUGUCCUAAAGAAUAGAACUUUAUUUUCACGAAAACUUUCUAAACAGGCCUAGGAUUUUUGAAAGAAAAGGAAAGGUACUGACGGUUUUUCCACCAAAUUUAAAAGAAAAAUGAUAAAAAUUAAAGAUGAAAAAAGAUAAAAGAGUUGUGGGCCGACCCACCAGCACGGCAAAGCCCGUCCCAAGGGAUUAUGGACCAUACUGGGCUGUCCAUUUGUCUUGGACGAGCCGGCGGGUUGCGCAGCCCGUUGGAACGGUCCGUUUUACGGGGACAUGAUUUCAGCAACUCAUUCUUGUCUUUUAAUUUUUAUUUUUUUUUUUGGAAAUAAAGGCGGAAAAAUGAUGGAAAAAAACCGUUGUUUUACACGGUUUGGACGAACAAAAUUUGGAAACUUCUAUAUCACCCUUUACUAAAUUAUAUGAAUUAUAAUAUACUCUAUUUAUAAAAGUUUACGGAAAUAUUAAUAUACACUUUAUUAAUAAUUUAUGGAAUUGUAAUUCGGUGUGUCUAACUUAACCUAAAAGGGUUGGGACAGAUUAAAGGAGGUCUUUGAAAACUCUCGAGGACCAAAAAAAACCCAAACAAAAAUCUCUGAUCCUUGGGUUUUUCUUUGCCAAAGCAAGAUCCUUCAAACCAGACCCACCACAAUAACACAGGAAUGGAAAAAAUUAGGGACAAUUGUGUUUUGGAUCCAUCUGGGCCCAAAAAUUAAGAUAUAACCCAUAAAAGUUACAUAAUUGAGGAGAAGGAUAUAAAACGUGAAAAGACCAAUAUACACUUCAAAACUAUUUUGAAUAUUUUCUACCAUAAUGUUUAACAAACUUUUUUAUCUUAAUUUUUUUUAAUAAUUAUUCUGAAAAUUUAUUAUUUUUAGAAAACUAAUUAUUUUAAAAAAUAUAUUCUAAAAAUAUAUCAUUUAAAAAAAAAAAUUUGACAUAUUUUUAGUUAUUUUUUACAUACAUAAUUUUAAAAAUAUAUAUUUUUUAAUAUGUUUGAUUUUUAAAUAAUAAUAAUAAUAAUUUAUUUAUAUUUUUUUGAAAAAUAGUGUAUUUUUUUCCAAAUCACUAAAUUAAAUUAAAUUUUAUUGAGGUUUAUAAAAUGAAUAAAAUUUAAAUUAAUGUUUUUCUACUCUAUUUUUUUUUAUAGUCAAUAAAGGUAAUUUUUGGAAAGAUAAAAAAUCUAUAUCCUUCUUCUCAAUUUUCACACUUUCUCUAAGUCUUGGACUUAAAUUGUGAACUUAUAUAGACCAAAGCUUAAUUUUUGAACCCAACUAGAUCCAAAACACAAUUGUCCCAAAAAAUUAUUUAAAGAGCUAAAGGCUUUGAUACCAUAGAAACUUUUCUCAAUAAAAUUUUAUAGACCAUUCUAUUAAACUUUGAUUAAUGAACAUCAAACACGCAUAUGCAUACAAGUACAUGAAUGAUCUAAAGCCAAUACUACGCAAUCAGAGAAACAUAUUCGCAGCCCAUGAUGUCGAUUGUGGUUAGACUACUCCAUUUUCUUUCACUGCCACACCACUCUCACUCUCUUUUUCACCUAACAUUUCCUUCUUUUUCACUUCUCCAGCAGUUGCCUCCUUCUCCUUCCCUUCUUUCCCGCCCUUUAACCUCUCUUCUUCCUCUUCCUUCUCUUUAGCUUCCUUCUCGGCCUUCACCCUCGCUUCUUCCUUGGCGGUCUCAAGGGCCUGAAUCAAAUUCUCCAAACAAGUUGUCCCAGGAUCAUCAGAUGGACUUGGGCAUCAAAUUUUCCGCAACAUCAACAGGAGUCAUAUUGGUUUCCUCCAACAAUCUGCGGAUGCUUGCAAACAAAUGGUGGGAGUCAAGAUCCAAGUAAUUCUUAGCAAACACCUUGAAUGCUUCAAAGCAACAGUAGGAUAAUUUAUUAUUAGUGAAUUAAUUUGAAAUUUAUUAAUUUGGGUUUGUGGGCAUAUUGUAUUUGGUGAUUAAUUUAAGGAUAUUUGGAUUAUAUUAAUUGUAAACUGUUUAUUUGGAUUUGGGCUUAUUGUUUAAGUUGUUAUUUGUUUGGGUUUAAAAUAUUAUUUCUCUUGAUCAUGUAUUUUUUUUUUAUGUGAGCUUGUUAAUUUAUGUGAAUUUUGGGGCUCAUAAUGUAGAUGAGAUUUAUUGGAUUAUUUAAAUAUUUUAUAUGGGUUUGAUCAAUUUGAAUUAUUUAAUUUAGAUAUGAGACAAUUGUGGUGUAUAUUAAAUUAAGCUUAGAUUAUGAAAUAUUAAAUUUAUGUUUAGUAGAAUUUAUUUUAAUUGGGUUGUGUUGUUGGAAGGGAGAUGUGGUGGAGUGCUGUGAAGGAGGAAGAAGAAGGAGAAGAAGAAAAAAAAUCUGGGCCCGCGUGGGAGUUCGGGGGAGAAGAGAAAAGGAAAAAAUAUGGGAAGAUGUCAGGGUGGGGUGCCGGAGGAAAGAAAAAAAAUGAGGGGGGAAGGGAGGCUGGCGAAAAGCCAGGGACCCCACCCAAAAAAAUUGGGGGCACUCGUUUCUCUUUUGGGAAUAGGGGAGAGGAAAAAAAGAAAAAAAUGUAAAAAAUCAGCAGAGAGAGAGGCGGGCUGCCGAAUGGAGGGAAAAUCAAUCGGGGGAGGGCCGGCCAAUUGGGAAACGGAGGAAGAAAAAAAUAAUAAAAAAAAGGAAGAAAAUCAUGAAGAGUGGAGAGGGGGGCUUUUAGACGUGAGAGAGCAUGGGUUAGGUGAGGGUAGGUGGAGGAAGAGAAGAGAGAAGAGGGAGGAGAGAGGAAAGAAAAAAAUAAUAAUAAAUAUAUAUAUAUAUAUAUCAUAUAAUAUAAUAUAAUAAUAACAAAAAAAAUAAAAAAAUAAAAAAAUAAUUUAUAAAAUAAUAAAAACGAGAAAUUAAAGGAUGAAUAGACUUAAAAUUGAACUUAAAAUUAAUAUAAAAAUAAAAUUAAAAUAAAUUUUGAACUCUACAUAUAUAUUUAUAAAUUAAAAAGUCUAAAUUAGGUUCGAACUUAGGUCUUCCAUCAUUCAUCGACAGCUUGGCCAGAACAUUGGUUGUUGGGACAUUGUAUGAGCACAGCAUUUUUAGUUUUUAGUUGAACUACAAAAACGGAAAAAACAAUUGAUCCUCAUGUUUUAAAAGAAAGAAAUUACUGUGAAGAGUAUGAAAUAAUAUUAAAAAUAAAACAAAGUUGAAAUUCUUUUAUUCCGGUCACUGACUGAGAAAUAAGAAGAGAAACAAGAGACAAGGAGUACUGACAGCUUGAACCAAACAACCAGCUGCAUCAGACCAGAGUCAGAUGGAAGUUGGUCCAUUUAGCCCAGAGCUUCAUUCUACAUGACAAACACACUGAACCUAAAAGCUUAUCCUAAAUUAAUUAAGUAGAUGGUGGUUCUUUGGGGAUCACCCCAUUUUCUCUCGCUGCCGACACUCCAUUCUCUUUCACCUCUUCACCUGACAUUUCCUUCUCUUUCACUUCUCCAGCAGUUGCCUCCUUCUCCUUCCCUUCUUUCUCGGCCUUUAGCCUCUCCUCUUCCUCUUCCUUCUCUGCCUUCACCCUCGCUUCUUCCUUGGCGGUCUCAAGGGCCUGAAUCAAAUUCUCCAAACAAGCUGUCCCAGGAUCAUCAGUACUGAUGGACUUGGGCAUCAAAUUUUCCGCAACAUCAGCAGGAGUCAUAUUGGUUUCCUCCAACAAUCUGCGGAUGCUUGCAAACAAAUGGUGGGAGUCCAGAUCCAAGUAAUUCUUUGCAAGCACCUUGAAUGCUUCAAAGCAACAGUAGGAUAAUUCUAUGUGCCUGUCCAUCCUCCCUCUCCUUAUGAGAGCAGGAUCAAGUUUUUCCACGUGAUUGGUGGUGAAAACUAUGAGUCUCUCUUCGCCACAAGCUGACCACAGCCCAUCAAUAAAAUUCAGAAGCCCGGAUAGAGUAACCUUGCUUUCUUUGCUUUCACCUUCUUUCCCCUUCUUAGGAAUUGGAUUAUCCUUGGACUCUUCGUCCUCCUCUUCCUUUUCCUUCUUUUUCUUACGUUGGCCUGUGAGGUCAAGCGAACAGUCGAUGUCCUCUAUCACAAUGAUGGACUUACUCGUUGUCUCGAUCAGUAGCUUCCGCAGCUCCGUGUUGUCCUUAACGGAAGUGAGUUCAAGAUCAUAGAUAUCAUAAUUCAAAAGGUUAGCCAUGGCAGCAAUCAUGCUCGACUUGCCAGUUCCUGGAGGACCAUGAAGGAGAUACCCUCUCUUCCAAGCCUUCCCAAUUUUUGAAUAAUAAUCUUUCCUCGUGCGGAAGAUGGUGAGAUCAUUAACAAUUUCCUCCUUCUUCUUUGACUCCAUUGCUAGAGUCUCAAAUGUGGCUGGGUGCUCAAAGGCCACAUGACUCCACACGGACUUUUUGUAUCCAUGCCAAUUGUCACUUGGAUUGUUAGUGCAGAGCUUUCGCUGCCGAUUUCUGACUGCAAUUGCCUUCCCCUCCUUUAUCACAUGAUUGAGAUAAGACCCCACGAUCAAAUCUCGGUACUGUUGAUGGAAAGUGAGCCUAUAGUACCUCUUCUCAUCAGCAGCAGGAUAAAAAGAAAUGGCCUGCAUUUUAGGGGGACUUUUAUUGGAAACCCACCAAAGCUUGACCCCCUGGAAUUCAUCCGUGACUUCUUCAUGGUCAUCCAUGCUGAGGACUACAGAUUGGCUGUCUUUGAUGAUAUCUGCCUUGAGCCGCUUGGCCCGGGCAGAUGAAUUAGCACUGAGGUAGUUCUCAAUGGCAGCAUAGGCUUCGCUGCGCUUGCGUCUGAAGCUAUUUUCAGUGAACUCCUGGAAAGUGAUUUGAAUGUAAGGGUACACAAAGCUCACCAACUUUUGGCUGUACUUUUCAAUAUAGGGCCGGAGCUGGUAAGGGAAGUAUUGCUGAAACAUGGCCCAGAGAAAGAUUGCCCCAGCGGCUACCGAGCCUAGUUGACCAAACAUCUCCCCCAUCACCACCUUCUUCUCCAAAGUUUUCGAGUAUUAGUGGUAAAAUGUGUUUGUAAGGAUUGAACGUUGCUUGCCGAUUAUAUAGAGGAGCAAAACCGACACUGAUAUUCAUCAUCUCACAAGUUCUAUUCUGUGGCCACCGCCAACGACGACAUUUCAAGCUCUAUUUAGUGGCUUCGUCACCAAGGAAAAUUCCCAUUUUCUUGUACCAGCAGCCACCUUUGACGAUAUUAAUCGACCGUGGAAUACUGGAAUGGGUGGAAAUUUCAUUCUGAAGGCCAUCGAUAACUGCAUAAAUGUAUUAGAUUGCAGUUCAAUAUAAUUAUGUUUUGACUUUUGAGUCAUGGCUAAAGACAAUUCUAGUUUCAUUCUUCAAAAAAUGACGUACGUUUGGAGAUAAAUUUUUUAAUUAUCAUAUCUUAAAUUAUUUUUAAAAAAAAAUCGAUAUCCUUGUGUUCUAUAUUUUAGGUUAUAUUUAAUUUUCAAAAAUACUAUAAAAAAAAGGUAAAAAUAAUUAUUUGCUCAUAUUUGAUUAUUCUAUAAAAAAUUUUAAAUAUAAUUAAUAUUAGUUAAAAUUUUAUAUAUUAAAAAAUUAAAAUAAAUAAAAUAAAUUUAUGUAAUUUAUAAAUAAAAAAUUAUUAUUUUUAUUUUUUUCUUAUAUAUUUUUUCAAAUUUUUGGAAACAUAACCUUAGUCUUCUCGAAGCUCAUAUUUGAAUUUGAAAUUUCAACUUGUUUGGUUGUUGGAAAGCUUCCAGAAAAGUGGAAAAACAGGAGAAAAUCAAAAGAAAAAAACAAGUAAAAGAUAGUUUAAAUUUAAUCAAUUAUUCCCCACUUUUCUCCUUAGCAUAAAGAAUGUGUCCCCAUACACUUUAAAGAAAAAUAAAAGAUUAUUUAAAUUUAAAUAAUUUAAAUACUGAAGUUCAUAAAUAAUCUUUCUCUUCGUAUUUAAUUUUCUUCCAUUCUCAACUUGUUUAUUGGGUUGAUGAUGCAAUCAGCUGAUAUCAUCAAUUUUUUUUUCACAUGCCUAAAUUGUCCUUAUUACAAUUAUUUUUAAUUAACAUAUAAUUAUCUUAAUUAGUAUAAAUUAAGGAAAAUUAAUCAUAAUCAGCAUUAAAGUAACCAAUACAUUUAAUUCAAACCAUAAAAUCUUAUAUCUUCUUCAAUAAAAAAAACUUCAAUUUCUCAUCUCAUUUUUAUUUUUUAAAUUUCUCCUAGGACACGAGAGAAAUUACAAUAAUAAAUAAAUAAAUAAAUAUAUAAAAGAAUUAGAGUUUGAAAGUAAUUUUAAAAAAUAGUUUUUGUAAAUAAUUUUUAAAAAUAUUUUUAAUUGUUUUGAGGAAUAAUUUUUUUUUUUUGAGAAUUUAAAUAUAGAAAUUUUUUUUAUGAAACUAUUAUAUACUUUUAUAUAAUACAAAAUAUUCUUUGUAUUUUUUAUUUUUAAUUGUUGUUCGAAAUUCUUUAUAAAAAUAUAUAUAAAUUUUGUUUUAAAAAAUCAACAUGUUCUCAAAAAGUCAUUUUUUAAAGUUAGAAAAUUAUUUUUUAUCUUAAACAAUAAAAUUUUAUUUUCAAGAAAACUUUCCAAACAGGUCUAAGAGUUUUGAAAGAAAAGGAAAGGCACUUGACACUUUCUCCACCAAAAUUUAAAUAAAAAAAAAAAUUGAUAAAAACUAAAGAAGAUAAAAAAGGAUAAAGAGUUGUGGACCGACCCACCAGCACGGCUAAGCUCGUCCCAAGGGAUCAUGGGCCAUACUGGGCUGUCCAUUUGUCUUGGACGGGCCGAGCACUAUCUUCAGGCGGCUUGCGCAGCCUGUUGGAACGGCCCGUUUUACGCGGACAUGAUUUCAGCAACUCAGCUAGAUGUUCUUGUUUUUUAGUUUUAGUUUUAUUUUUUAUUUUGGGGAAAAAAAAGGCGGAAAAAUGAUGGGAAAAAGCCUUGUUUUACACGGCUUGGACGAACCAAAUUUGGAAACUUCAUGCAUAAUUCACCCUUUAUUAAAUUAUAUGAAUUAUAAUAUAGUCUAUUUACAAAAAUAUUAAUAUACACUUUAUUAAUAAUUUAAUUUAAUUUCUUGCAUGACGAGCUUGAGCUCUUAGAAAAAAAGUAACGCUAAAGACCAUAUGUUUGAACUUAUUAAAUGAAGAGAAAAGACAAUUCAAUCUUAUCAUAUCUUCGAAAGUAAAAAAUUAGUCACACUCAUUACAAUUGAAAACAUAUCCACAAAAGUUUUGAUACAAAUAAGAUAUUGAAAAUGUUUAAAUCGGGAUGAAUCAUGAAACUUAUAUGACUCACAAUAAUCACAAAACCACUGACAAUACAUAUGAAAAAAAAAUAAACCUUGUACUUGAUGAAGUAAAAAGUCCAUAAUUGAAAGUCGAUAUAAUUAAAUGCACUAAAAUCAAUUACCUAACGAUUAAAGUGAUUGUCUUGCAAGAGUGAGAAAGCAAAAGCAUUACAACAAUUACCCAUGUUUAAAUGACUUAUCAUCUCUUGAACUUGAUUUGUAAGUUGGUUGAUGGGUAUUAUCAAAUUUUGCAUGUUUAGAUCACACUUGGACAAUGUUGCAAUAGUUGUGUGAGAAGUCUUUCAAAGUGUAGAUUUCUCUUUCAUAUUAUACUUCAUAUGGCCAAUUUUUAAAAAUGUAUAUGCAAGGUGAAAUUUAAGUUAUAUUGUCGAGGACUAAAUUUUGUGGCAAACGCAAAAUCUUCAUUUGUCUUUGGUUUUUGCAUUGUUCCAAACAUAAAUUGAUCUUCCUCUACUUUCUUUGAGUAAAAAAAGUUUUUUCAAGUCUCCCUGACUUCAAACUCUGAUAAUACAUAAUCAAUACUAAUAAAAGAAAGAGUAUAAUGAAGUACAAAAGUUAUAACAAACUCAAAAUUAUCUAAAAAAGCCAUUAGAAAUUACACAAGAUGUAAUUCUUCUUUGUAAUUGUUACGAAAUAAUGAGACUAGACAAUAAGAAAACAAAAUAAGAACAUAUAGAUUUACAUGAAAAUCCUAGGUGGAAAAAACCGUAAGCAUAGGAGAAGAAGAUCCACUAUGUCAAAAAAUAGUACAAAAGAGAAGAGUUGUGAAUGGUUACAAUAAAAGUAUAAUUAUCAUAACAUUAAAACUAUACAUCAUCAUCUAUAUAUAUAUACCUAUCCGCCCAAUCCCUCCACUACCACUACAAACCCUCCAAAAAAAUCUCAAAAUUAGCUAUACCACAUAUGUCACACCACAAGCUUUUCAAGAUUGGCAAAAGAGAAAUCGGGUCACCAAACUCUAAUAGUAUGAAUACUAUAAUUGAGCAUCAACAAUCCACUUUGGCUCCAUAUGAGCAAAUUCAUAUGAGAGAAUUAAGAUUUCACCAUGAAAUUUAAAAUUAAUUGCUUUUUCUUUUGUUUUCAAUCACAAAUAUCAAUCUCAAGUUUGUAUUUUCGUGUGAAGUUUAUUUAAACAUAAUAUUCUACAAGAAAAUCCCAACAUAUACAAGAAAAUACCAUUGUUACAUACAGAUGACUAUAAAAAAUAGUCAAUCAUAGAAGAAAGAUGACAACGGAAAGUAAUUAUUAUUAUGGGAAGGAUGACCGACAAAAAUAAACAACCAUCAAAUACCAACAAUGACCACGUCUUGCUAUCAUCUUCUCCUUUUCUUCUUCAAAAGCUAUGAACAACUAAAUUCAUAAUCCAUGUUAUAAAUUAUUAUUUUUUCCCCUUUUUUCUUAUCUCUCACUCCUCUUGUUUAUUCUCCCCUCUUCCUCUUACAUGUUUCGUGAUUUUUCCAAAUAUUUCUUUGUGCUAGAAAUAUAUUUCCACAAUCCAUUCCCUUUCAAGAAAUUGUUCAUCAAAUAAGAUCACUGGUUAUAAUUUGAUUUGCCGAACCUAACACAGACAGAUUGGGAUAGAUUAGAGGAGGCCUUUGAAAAAGAAAACCACAGGAAAUAAAAAUCUGUGACCUAAACUGAAGAGAAAAGCUACCAAAGCACCUUUCUUGCUAAUUCACGUGAUCUGAAUGAGAGUCCCGCCCUCGAGUUUUUCUUUCCCAUAGUAAGCGUAGAGAUUCUUCACACCAGGCCCACCACAGUAACAGAGGAAUGGAAAAAAUUAUUCAAAGAGAUAAAGGAUUUGAUAGCAUAGAAACUUUUCUACAUAGAAUUUUACAGACCAUUCUAUUAAACUUUAGGAUUAAUGAACAUCAUACACACAUAUGCAUACAAGUACAUGAAAUGAUCUAAAGCCAAUACUACACAAUCAGAGAAAUAUAUUCACAGCCCACGAGGUCGAUUGUGGUUAGACUACCCCAUUUUCUUUCACUGCAACUCCAUUCUGUUUCUCUUUCUCACCUGACGCUUCCUUCUCUUUCACUUCUCCAGCAGUUGCCUCCUUCUCCUUCCCUUCUUUCUCGCCCUUUAACCUCUCUUCUUCCUCCUCCUUCUCUUUAGCUUCCUUCUCGGCCUUCACCCUCGCUUCUUCCUUGGCGGUCUCAAGGGCCUGAAUCAAACUCUCCAAACAAGUUGUCCCAGGAUCACCAGUGACGGACUUGGGCAUCAAAUUUUCCGCAACAUCAGCAGGAGUCAUAUUGGUUUCCUCCAACAAUCUGCGGAUGCUUGCAAACAAAUGGUGGGAGUCAAGAUCCAAGUAAUUCUUAGCCAGCACCUUGAAUGCUUCAAAGCAACAGUAGGAUAAUUCUAUGUGCUUGUCCAUCCUCCCUCUCCUUAUGAGAGCAGGAUCAAGUUUUUCCACAUAAUUGGUGGUGAAAAUUAUCAGCCUCUCUUCCCCACAAGUUGACCACAACCCAUCAAUAACAUUCAGGAGCCCCGAUAGAGUAACUUUGCUUUCUUUGCUUUCACCUUCUUUUUCCAUUUUACGAAUUGGAUCCUUCUUCUCUUCCUCA
Molecule: long non-coding RNA, 12858 nt
Filed under: Vitis vinifera (wine grape)
Lineage: Eukaryota; Viridiplantae; Streptophyta; Magnoliopsida; Vitales; Vitaceae
Description: long non-coding RNA (VVIN_LNC004870)
Source: RNAcentral